This 1439-nucleotide long non-coding RNA is filed under the name Brachypodium distachyon (stiff brome). RNAcentral describes it as "long non-coding RNA (BDIS_LNC005721)". Lineage: Eukaryota; Viridiplantae; Streptophyta; Magnoliopsida; Poales; Poaceae. The record is from RNAcentral.
UUCUACUGCUACAGUGGGUGGCUUUGUACCACAUCUUUAGUACUUUAAUCCCCAUAAGACUAUAACUAUCAUUAUAUUUAUAUUCCUAACUUGAUGAUAGAAAGGAUUGUGGUGCUCUUGAUACUAAUAUAGACCGGCAUUGCUUUUACAGCAGCAGAUAUUGGCUUUAGUAUCAGUUCUUUUAGGUCGUUACACGAUACUGCAAAUUUGUAAGAGAGAAAACUGCCAUGGGCAGAAGGUGUUGUGAAGUCUGUCCUCACGCAAACCAGGCAUGCAAGGUAUGAAAACAAACACACAUGUCCUAAUUAUGCAUUUCAAUGUCAGGUUUUCCAUGCAUGGAAAUAUGAAAAGGAAUACCAAAUAGCACUUUGUCCCUCUAGCCUAUGUUAUGUUAGAAAGGCUGCAUGUACAAGUAAAAGGAAACAGAGGAAGUACAUGAUAUAUUCCAUCGACGGUGAACUUCAAGCAAAACUAGUUUGACACUUUGACUCUCCUUCGGACAAAUGAUUUUAGAUUUAUCGGCAUGGACUAGAUUCUAGAAUCUACAUACAUAUCAUGGCAAACAAAGCCAGGUCAUGAUCAUCUAUCAUGAAAAUUAUUAUAUGUUAAAAAAAUUGCAGUCAUGUCUCUGUCUAAAUGAGAUUGUUGAUAUUAAUUUGUCAUCUGAAGUACGUUUUAAAGGAUUUGUAAUGUCUAGAUUUUAAUGUUUCAGGUCAAUUGCAAAUCUAUGUGUUAGAACUAUCAAAGCAGUUAUCUGUUUAUUCCAGUGAACUGGAUUCUAGUUGGGGCCCUGGUAUGUAUCACUAUUUGUGGCUAAUUAAUGUACUUGCAAAACCGACUCAGCUACUGACCACUCAAUAGUUGAUGUGCUUCUAUCCAUUGCAGAUUGCUCAGCCGUGGCCUGGGGCCAUAUGAAUAAAGCUCUUUCCUGGUGAUGCAUUAUGCACAUGAUUGAAAUAGGGUCUACAGAAUAAAUUCCCCCCAUGAUAUGCAUUGUUUGAAAGAUGGGAGUCAAGUUUUUGGUUUUUCUUGUUCUUUAGAUAGAAAGAGAAAAUCAAUAAAUACGGUCAAAUAGUAUUGUCUUUUUUUCUGCAAGAAAAAUGGUGGUUGCUGGCCUACAUAUGAUCCAACCUGCAUUUACAUGGAUGGACAUGUUUCCUUUGGCCCCACUUCAUUUUGCACUUUGAUAAUAUGCCUCAUAUUGUGUGGGCAUAUGAUCAAAUUUGCCAUGAUAACUGGAGCUACCAAUGUAAUUUGCAGUAAUAAUAUGCCUAUGUUUGAACUGUUAAAUCAGUACCGUGCGAUUUUAAGAGUUGUCAACAGUUAUGCUGUCACAUUGGUUGAACAACUUACAUCCCUCUUGUUUACAUGAGUUCUAGUCGCGUUAAGGCGUUAACUUUCUGCUCAGGUAAAGCCUGUGCUGACAUGUAGUUCUCUUA